This 2763-nucleotide ribosomal RNA is filed under the name Candidatus Amesbacteria bacterium GW2011_GWA1_44_24. RNAcentral's name for it is "bacterial LSU rRNA". The stretch from base 5 to 1992 matches the Rfam family "Bacterial large subunit ribosomal RNA", at positions 15 to 2044 of the family's 2925-position model. Lineage: Bacteria; Candidatus Amesiibacteriota. The record is from RNAcentral.
CGUAAGGCAGACAACGAAUGCCUAGGAUACUGAAGCCGAAGAAGGACGUACGUGGCCACGAAAGUCGUCGGGGAGCUGCCAAGAAGCUUUGAUCCGGCGGUGUCCGAAUGGGGAAACCCCCUCUUUAUGAGGACCCCGCCUAUGGCGGGGGGGGCACGCCCUGAACUGAAACAUCUAAGUAAGGGCAGGAAAAGAAAUCAACGUUCGCGCAAGCGAGAGAGAUUCCGUAAGUAAGCGGUGAGCGAAAGCGGAACAGCCUAAACCCCGCCGCAAGGCGAGGGUGUUGCGGGAAGGCCGAGUGACCGGCAAGGGUAGUCGAACUGUCUGGAAAGGCAGGCUAUAAAACGUGACAGCCGUGUAGGCGAAACCCAAGCCGGCGUGAAGCCGAAUUCCCAAGUACCAUGAGGCACAUACCUUGUGGGAAUCCGGGGUGACCACACUCCAAGGCUAAAUACUUCAGUGUACCGAUAGUGAACUAGUACCGUGAGGGAAAGGCGAAAAGAAGGGUGAGAAACCUAGUGAAAUAGAACCUGAAAUUGUCUGCUGUCAAGCAGACGGAGUCCCGCCUUUGGCGGGAUGACGUCGUGCCUAUUGAAGAAUGAUCCGGCGAGUUUUCGUUACAUGCAUGUCUAAUCCGUCUAAAGCGGAGGAGGCGUAGUGAAAGCGAGGGUUAACAGCCCGUAUAUUGCAUGUGAUGGAAGACCCGAAACCUGGUCAGAGUUACAAAUCUGUGAGAUGACUUGUGGUUAGGGGUAAUAUGCCAAUCGAACCAGGAGAUAGCUGGCUCUCCCCGAAAUAUAUAUAGGUAUAGCCUUAAGACUAACUUUCAAGAGGUAGAGCACUGGAUGGGCAGGGCAUCUUUAGGUGUCCUAUUCAAUCAAACUCCGAAUUCUUGAAAGCUACAUCUUAGGAGUCAGAACGACCCGGCUAAGCGGGCCGCUCUAAAGGGAAACAACCCAGACUGUCGUCUAAGGCCUCUAAAUGAAUGCUCAGUGUUGAACGAAGUCAAAUUCCUCAGACAGCCAGGAGGUUGGCUCAGAAGCAGCCAUCCUUUAAAGAAAGCGUAACAGCUCACUGGUCGACCUUGGAAUUUGGCGCGGAAAAUGAACCGAGGCUUAAGCAUUCUGCCGAAGACACAGAUUUUUUUGACGUUCGCGUCAAAAAAGUGGUAGGGGAGCGUUGAAGGAGCAGUGAAGUCCCUCUGUAAAGAUCGGGAUGGAGCGACUUCAAGUGAGAAUGCCGGAAUGAGUAGCGUAAGCCCGAUGAGAAUUCGGGCCGCCGAAACCCCAAGGUUUUCCCAGCCAUGUUGUUCAGCUGGGAGUGAGUCGGCACCUAAGGUGAGGCCUAAGUUGGCGUAACCGAUGGACGAGCCGUUAACAUUCGGCUACAUGAUAAGUAUCGUUAUAAAAUCAGGGAUGGACAAAAUGAGAAUAUCCGAACGCACGUAGUGAAUGUGGCGUUUAAGCAGCAAGACAGUUAGGCUUGGAAAAACCGGUCUGACGUUUAAUUGAGCUGUGAUGAGAAGUCUGGCGAGAAAUCAACGGGCAACUCGGACGGUUUUUGUUUUCCAGAAAAGAUUCGUGGUGAGAUAUUUAUUAUGCCGUACCGCAAACCGACACUGGUGGGGUGGUCGAGUAGACCAAGGCGAUCGGGAGAAGGUAGUUCAAGGAACUCGGCAAAAAAUCUGGACGUAAUCUAGAGAGAUGUCCUUCCCGCCUAUGGCGGGACGCAGCGAAAGAUUAUUCCCCGACUGUUUAACUAAAACACAGGUCUGUGCAAACUUGAAAGAGAAAGUAUACAGGCUGAGGCCUGCCCAGUGCUCGUAAGUUAAGUGGAUGGCUGAGAUUACAUCAAGGCUUGAAAUGAAGCCCGAGUGAACGGCAGCAGUAACUAUGAGCCGAAAGGCCGUUGUAGUUAAAAAAGUCGACUAUAUGCUGGAAUAUCUGGAGUAUCUAGCACUAGUUUAUUUCGGGUAUAUUUCGGAGUAGACUGAAAAUGUGUCUAGUGCAGACAAUCAGCAGGAAAGGUUAAAGACAGGACAUUUUUUGGCAGGAUUUGUUGAAGGCGAAGGAAGUUUUAAUAUUUCCAUACGCCGUAAAGCAGACUAUAAAGUAAGUUGGCAGGUGGUGUUGAGCUUUAAUGUAUCUCAACGCGAUCCAUCACUUUUAUAUUUGCUAAAACAAACUCUUGAUUGUGGGAUUAUUAAAAAACGUUUUGAUGGUGUUUAUUCGUUUGAUGUGACAACACCUGCGGACGCGAUUUAUAAAGUAAUUCCAUUUUUCCAAGAAUUUCCGCUUCGUUCAAAGGAUAAAAUUCGUAACUUUAACUUAUUUGUUAAAGUGGCGAAUUUAAUGAAGAACGGAGAACACAAAACCCAAGAAGGACUGUUUAAUAUUCUGAGCAUCAGAGAGAAAAUAAACUUGGGUAAGGGGAGGACUAGAAAAUAUUCGAUUUUCGAUGUAUUUCCCAAUCUGUCUUUAGAAUCCCCAGAGACUAUACGUCGACUUCGGCAAUCGCCGAAAUGAUAUAGUCCGGACUCCAUGGCGACAUGGAGAGACGUAACCAAUCGUCCUUUGUAACAAAUCGAACUGUUCUAUGGUAGCGAAGUUCCUUGUCGGGUAAGCGGCGGAAGCAAGCCCGACGUAAAAAACUGACUCAUAUCGGUGGAGCCUCUUGACCUUCGGGUUUUAUAAGGUCAGGAUGGUAAUACCGAGGGAAGUCGUCCGGUUGAUAACUGGAUUGACCCCGUAACGACUUAGGAUG